This 239-nucleotide unclassified non-coding RNA is filed under the name fungal sp. RNAcentral's name for it is "partial internal transcribed spacer region". The stretch from base 1 to 46 matches the Rfam family "Eukaryotic small subunit ribosomal RNA", at positions 1786 to 1831 of the family's 1831-position model. Lineage: Eukaryota; Fungi. The record is from RNAcentral.
AAGUCGUAACAAGGUUUCCGUAGGUGAACCUGCGGAAGGAUCAUUAACACGUAUCCAAACGGAAAGUGUCAUUACCUGUGUAAGGAUGACGCAGUCACGAUCGUUGGAGGCCCACACGGCCGACGACCCGGUCGCUGGGCGCAAGCCCCCUGGUAACAAACCCCCUGCCAAUCGCGGCCGCGAUAAUACGCAGUCGACCAAAAACCGAACAACUGUUAACAAUGGAUAUCUUGGUUCUC